RNAcentral lists this transfer RNA (63 nucleotides) under Plakobranchus cf. ocellatus HW-2015. RNAcentral describes it as "tRNA-Lys". It matches the Rfam family "tRNA". From Rfam's summary of the family: Transfer RNA (tRNA) molecules are approximately 80 nucleotides in length. The record is from RNAcentral. Lineage: Eukaryota; Metazoa; Mollusca; Gastropoda; Plakobranchidae.
UUCUUGGUAGCUUAGUGUAGGCGAUAGAUUUUUAAUCUGUAGACGGAUAAUUUCCCCAAGGAA